UUUAAACCGGAAAUGCUAGCUUGACCAACUUUUACCCAUUCAUUGGCACAAACCUGGUGUUCUUCUCUGUCUAUUGGAUAUUCCCAUAAUCAACUUCCAUAUCAGAAUUUUUAGAUCAAAAUGUGGCCAUCAGAAUUAUGGAACCCUGAUACCGAAAGAAGGAUAAGAAAAUUGAGGAAUUGUUUAACGAGUUGCAGCAUGAGAAGAGAUCUGCAGGUUUUCGGGAGCGACACUAUUUGGUUUUGAAUGACAUGAGGUACAUGCACAACAUGUCACUAAGUUCAACAGAUUAUCAAUGAUAUCCAAGAAAUUGAGUCUUCCCAAAUUUGAAGAUGGUUAUGUAUUGGCCAUAGUGGUAGCUUAAUUAGCCAAUUGAAACUUAGAGGAAUGACAAACUCCCAAAUCACAUUAAACCACCUGCUACUUUUUCUGGAGAUGGCAAUUUCUGGAGAUGGUUUUGCCAUAGGUAGUCCAUUCAUAAACCUAGCUCCAGGUCUUCAGAUUGCUCCAGGCAACCACAGAGCUAAUCUUGGAAGUAAUAAAAUGCUUGUCUGAGUGCCUGGAUUAAUCUUGGCAGACAGGCCAAACAGUUGGCAGAAUUGCAUAGUCAAUAAUACUGUUUCGCUGCAACUCAAUUGUCAGUCGAACGAAAAAUAGGGGUUACAGGUGCUAUCAAUUUUAUGGAAAAAUAAGCGUUGCGUGUAUUGUUGUUUCGAUUCUUCCUGAGAACCAAACACGUUUUUGAUAAGUGCAGUGCCUUUCAAAUCAGCAGCCUAAUCAAAUAACAAAAAUGCAAUCACUUCACACGUCUUCAUAUGCGAUAUGGAUCAGAUUGUUAGUUAAACGCCGAUGACAGUGGGCAGAAAGGAUGGGAAAUAGGAUUUCUAGAAGCAACCUCGCCAAGGAUUCAGAUCCAUUCUGCUGGAUAUUUUUCUUGGCAAUCUGAAUCUGAAUUCGUAUAGUAGGCCAAAGUAAGACAAUCCUCAAGACCCAAGGAAGUGGAACCCCAUCCACCGGAAUCUAUAAACUUCUUUGGGGACUGUCUGAUAUCUUUCAGCAACAUACUCCAGUCUGGGCUUGUACUGUUAACAUAAUACUUCACACCCCAGUUGUUCAGACGAUGUUUUAUGCCAGUGAGAAAUUUUAAGGGAAUAGAGCAGAUUUUAAGCACAUCACGCUCGUAGUCAUUGAAUACGACUGUCAUAUCAAUUUUUUCAUGUCCAAGACGCGCCAGGUUAACAAUCUCAAUAUCCCGUAGCAGGAUCACAACAGAAGGUAUUUCUUCUUCAAGCAAAACCAAGGCACCAUAAAUCAGGGCAAAUAAUGAAGCACCUGUGUGAACUUCUCCAGAAAAUUCUAACUCCUCUAGUGCAUGGAAAUGUAUAGGUAGCACACUCUCGGGACUCUGAGGUUCUUGUUGUACUUUGUGGACGAAGUUAUUCAAAUCUUCGUUACGGCCGCUA
Molecule: long non-coding RNA, 1463 nt
Organism: Papaver somniferum (opium poppy)
Lineage: Eukaryota; Viridiplantae; Streptophyta; Magnoliopsida; Ranunculales; Papaveraceae
Exons: 2
Source: RefSeq, a predicted model, not a curated record